CCUACGGGAGGCAGCAGUAGGGAAUCUUUCACAAUGGGCGAAAGCCUGAUGGAGCAACGCCGCGUGCAGGAUGAAGGCCUUCGGGUUGUAAACUGCUUUUAUAAGCGAGAAAUAUGAUGGUAACUUAUGAAUAAGGAUCGGCUAACUACGUGCCAGCAGCCGCGGUCAUACGUAGGAUCCGAGCAUUAUCCGGAGUGACUGGGUGUAAAGAGUUGCGUAGGUGGCAUAAUAAGUAGCUAGUGAAAUCUGGUGGCUCAACCAUUCAGACUAUUGGCUAAACUGUUAAGCUCGAGACCGUUAGGGGUAACUGGAAUUUCUAGUGUAGGAGUGAAAUGCGUAGAUAUUAGAAGGAACACCGAUAGCGUAGGCAGGUUACUGGGACGGUUCUGACACUAAGGCACGAAAGCGUAGGGAGCAAACGGGAUUAGAUACCCGUGUAGUC
This 442-nucleotide ribosomal RNA is filed under the name uncultured bacterium. Its description in RNAcentral is "partial 16S ribosomal RNA". It matches the Rfam family "Bacterial small subunit ribosomal RNA", at positions 338 to 795 of the family's 1533-position model. The record is from RNAcentral.